Molecule: ribosomal RNA, 116 nt
Filed under: uncultured bacterium
Lineage: Bacteria
Description: partial 16S ribosomal RNA
Rfam family: Bacterial small subunit ribosomal RNA
Source: RNAcentral
ACACACCGCCCGUCACACCAUGGGAGCCGGGAAUGCCCGAAGUCAGCGGCCCAACCGAAAGGAGGGAGCUGCCGAAGGCAGGCCUGGUGACUGGGGUGAAGUCGUAACAAGGUAAC